This is a non-coding RNA of Mycena latifolia, 89 nucleotides long. The record is from the annotation of a GenBank genome assembly. NCBI's taxonomy places the organism in Eukaryota, Fungi, Basidiomycota, Agaricomycetes, Agaricales, Mycenaceae.
UCGGAUAUGGUGUACGGUACAUGGCCUCUCUUGUUAUGUGUCUGAUGCAUAGCCAGAGGCAGAUCGGGGUUCGACUCCCCGUGUCCGAA